UUGCCAACAUUAGGGCUCCAACCCCAGAGUUGAGCCUUUUAGACAUAGGGCCUCCAUUCCCUAGUUGCCUUUUUACCAACACUAGGGCUCCAAUCCCUGAGUUGAGCCUUUUAGACAUAGGGCCUCCAUUCCCUAGUCGCUUUUUGCCAAUAUUAGGGCUCCAAUCCCUGAGUUGAGCCUUUUAGACAUAGGGCCUCCAUUCCCUAGUCGCCUUUUGCCAACAUUAGAGAUCCAAUCCUUGAGUUGAGCUUUUUAGACAUAGGGCCUCCAUUCCCUAGUCGCCUUUUUGCCAACAUUAGGGCUCCAACCCCAGAGUUGAGCCUUUUAGACAUAGGGCCUCCAUUCCAUAGUCGCCUUUUGCCAACAUUAGGGCUCCAAUCCCUGAGUUGAGCCUUUUAGACAUAGGGCCUCCAUUCCCUAGUCGGCUUUUGCCAACAUUAGGGCUCCAAUACCUGAGUUGAGCCUUUUUAGACAUAGGGCCUCCAUUCCCUAGUCGCCUUUUUGCCAACAUUAGGGCUCCAAUCCCUGAGUUGAGCCUUUUAGACAUAGGGCCACCAUUC
Molecule: long non-coding RNA, 560 nt
Filed under: Nicotiana tabacum (common tobacco)
Lineage: Eukaryota; Viridiplantae; Streptophyta; Magnoliopsida; Solanales; Solanaceae
Description: long non-coding RNA (NTAB_LNC009313)
Source: RNAcentral